This 233-nucleotide ribosomal RNA is filed under the name uncultured soil bacterium. RNAcentral describes it as "partial 16S ribosomal RNA". It matches the Rfam family "Bacterial small subunit ribosomal RNA", at positions 26 to 287 of the family's 1533-position model. The record is from RNAcentral.
AGAACGAACGCUGGCGGCAUGCCUAAUACAUGCAAGUCGAACGAACACUUCGGUGUUAGUGGCGCACGGGUGCGUAACGCGUGGGAAUCUGCCCUUGGGUUCGGAAUAACAGUUGGAAACGACUGCUAAUACCGGAUGAUAUCGAAAGAUCAAAGAUUUAUCGCCCAGGGAUGAGCCCGCGUAGGAUUAGCUAGUUGGUGAGGUAAAGGCUCACCAAGGCGACGAUCCUUAGC